UACGAAGGGUGCAAGCGUUACUCGGAAUGAUUGGGCGUAAAGGGCGCGUAGGCGGCCUGGUAAGUUUGGUGUGAAAUCCCGGAGCUCAACUCCGGAAGUGCAUUGAAUACUGCUAGGCUAGAGUAUAGGAGAGGAGGGCGGAAUUCCUGGUGUAGAGGUGAAAUUCGUAGAUAUCAGGAGGAACAACAGUGGCGAAGGCGGCCCUCUGGACUGUAACUGACGCUGAGGCGCGAAAGCGUGGGGAGCAAACAGG
RNAcentral lists this ribosomal RNA (253 nucleotides) under uncultured bacterium. RNAcentral describes it as "partial 16S ribosomal RNA". It matches the Rfam family "Bacterial small subunit ribosomal RNA", at positions 524 to 776 of the family's 1533-position model. The record is from RNAcentral.